This 519-nucleotide long non-coding RNA is filed under the name Ananas comosus (pineapple). RNAcentral describes it as "long non-coding RNA (ACOM_LNC017206)". The record is from RNAcentral. Lineage: Eukaryota; Viridiplantae; Streptophyta; Magnoliopsida; Poales; Bromeliaceae.
AAUAAUAAUAAUAUUUUGUUAUGAUGGUUUGGUUGAAUAUAUAUAUAUAUAUAUAUAUAUAUAUAUAUAUAUAUAUAUAGUUGAGCUGGAAUGCUAUCGGUAGCAAGCGGGCUCCGUUGCCAUCCAUUUGUUUUCGAUGAUGGAGCUUUCAAAUCGACGAUCGGCCCGUUGAAAAUGAUCUAUAUCACUUGAAGUAUCUAGAAAUCAAAUUUCAAAUCUUUUUGACAUCAUUUACCGAAUGAUCAAAGGGUUUCAAAAUUAGUAAUUUUAAUGGUUGAUAUGAGUGGUUUUCUCGUUUAACAGUGUAAAGCUAUCCAAAUCAAUUAAAUUUUGGUUAGAAAAUUUUUUAAACUAUUUAGAACAAGAUCUAUACUCUCGAUCAUGAUUACAAAAUUUCUAUCAUCACUUUUUAGAGGAUAUUCAUUUUCAGCCAUUCAUUUUUACGCCCACUUGAUGGACAAGAAAAUAAUAUCGGAAAAGUAUGAAAUUUGAUUUCUAGAUACUUCAAGUAGUAUAGAU